RNAcentral lists this ribosomal RNA (496 nucleotides) under uncultured bacterium. RNAcentral's name for it is "partial 16S ribosomal RNA". It matches the Rfam family "Bacterial small subunit ribosomal RNA", at positions 28 to 507 of the family's 1533-position model. The record is from RNAcentral.
GAUGAACGCUGGCGGCGUGCCUAAUACAUGCAAGUCGAGCGAACAGACGAGGAGCUUGCUCCUCUGACGUUAGCGGCGGACGGGUGAGUAACACGUGGAUAACCUACCUAUAAGACUGGGAUAACUUCGGGAAACCGGAGCUAAUACCGGAUAAUAUAUUGAACCGCAUGGUUCAAUAGUGAAAGACGGUUUUGCUGUCACUUAUAGAUGGAUCCGCGCCGCAUUGGCUAGUUGGUAAGGUAACGGCUUACCAAGGCAACGAUGCGUAGCCGACCUGAGAGGGUGAUCGGCCACACUGGAACUGAGACACGGUCCAGACUCCUACGGGAGGCAGCAGUAGGGAAUCUUCCGCAAUGGCGAAAGCCUGACGGAGCAACGCCGCGUGAGUGAUGAAGGUCUUCGGAUCGUAAAACUCUGUUAUUAGGGAAGAACAAAUGUGUAAGUAACUAUGCACGUCUUGACGGUACCUAAUCAGAAAGCCACGGCUAACUACGUG